CGUUUUUACUUUUCACUUGUCAUGUAGGUGUGUCUGUGGAAAACCAAAGAUGACCAAAUCAAAACUUGGCCUGUUUUAGCUGUUUUAUUCUGACAGUUUUAAUUUCAAUGUUUUAUUGUCUGACAGAUCCACCUUGUCUUAGACUUUCUUAGCUUUGUUAAUAUUGGGAUUUUUAAGGAGAUUCAAUAUUUGAUUUUUUUUUUUUCGUUGUUCAGUACAUAUUUUAACAGUAUACAUAAACAAUUUGUAUUAGUCUAUCACUUAUGUUUUAGGUGUUAAGACUUCAUAUAUUGAAUUGAUGUCAUUUUCUGCCAUACAAAUUUAAAAUGCCAUAUUUUUAAAACUAAGUAAGCCCCAGAGUUUUGUAAGUCACAGUGUUUCAUUAUUUUGUUCCUAAUACUCAUGUUUAACUUCAUAAUGAUUAUUGAAUAAUUGUUUUAGCUGGUGAACUUUUUUUUUUUUUUACUUUAUUAUUGUAAAUAUAUAUGAAAAAAAAAAUAUAUAUAUAUAUCUAUUUGUCAACUGUAUAUUGUUAUUGAAGGUCUGCAUAUUGUUUCAUACCUGAAGUUUGUUAGAAUAUAGCUAUAAAUAAUAGUUCUAGGCCAAGACCAGUAUGUUCUGAUGGUGAAACCUGGAUCUAAACUAUCUCGAGAGAUCAUAUUAUUGUUGGUUUAUUUCUUGUCUCAUUGUCUCUGGCAUCUUCAAAUUAUGUUAUAGCUGUCUUGUUGUUCUUAGCUAGUCAUUAUUUACUUCUUUUUCUUUAAAUUAUCAAGCAAUCUUUAGUUGCAGUUCAAUUUGAAUUCUUGUAGUGUUCUUUCAUCUGAUCGGGAUGAAGUAUUUUCAGACUCUUCUUGCUCUGACCAUCAUCCAUUAUACUUGUACUGUUCACCUCUUUGUUGAAGCCUUUUGUAAAGUUUUGAUUGGAUGUCAUCUCUCAUGUGACAUAACAUCACUGCCUCACUUUGAAUAGCCAGCCUUGACAUUGUGAGAGUGGUGUAUCUCUUCAACCACCCCCACUUACGUAAUGGAUCUGUUGAAGUGAUGUUGCUUUGAGAGACAUUUUAUCAUUGCUAUGUUCCCUUAGCCAAUUCUAGUUCAGUGGUAUUUGACCUAUCAACAUUGGAAAAUUAUACACCUACUAAUUGUUCCUUACAGUCAGUGUUUUUGACUUCAUUUUCUGGUAUCAUAAUUUAACAUACUUACAAAGGCCAGCUAGAUGUAAAUACUGUACAGUUACUAUGAUUGGAUUGGUGACAUUUCAGUCAACAGAAAUUGCAAUAUAUUAACAUGAAGAAGAAAAACAUUUAUCAUACACAAAAUGUAACAUUGAGUUAUCAAAUGUCUCUCUAAUGUAAAUUCAUCUAGUUUUGGAUUUCUAAUGCAUGUACACACAGCAGAAGCUCAACAAAAACAUAUAUUCUAACAUUCUUCAGUUCAGUCAUUAAUUCCUACUAUGGAUUAGUCAGGGAUAAAUUUAAACUUAACUCUCAAUGGUGCAAGUUUAUUUUAUAUUGCUUCUACGCUAAUCAAGAUAAAGGCUCAGAACCAGAUUAUAUGUAACAUCAUGGUGCUUGACGGAGCAGCUUGUUAGUAUGUAUAAAAUCCCAAAUAUACAAA
This is a non-coding RNA of Biomphalaria pfeifferi, 1617 nucleotides long. The record is from the annotation of a GenBank genome assembly. Lineage: Eukaryota; Metazoa; Mollusca; Gastropoda; Planorbidae.